This 705-nucleotide ribosomal RNA is filed under the name Variovorax sp. R51(2010). Its description in RNAcentral is "bacterial SSU rRNA". It matches the Rfam family "Bacterial small subunit ribosomal RNA", at positions 57 to 756 of the family's 1533-position model. The record is from RNAcentral. Lineage: Bacteria; Pseudomonadati; Pseudomonadota; Betaproteobacteria; Burkholderiales; Comamonadaceae.
GCAAGUCGAACGGCAGCCGCGGGAGCAAUCCUGGCGGCGAGUGGCGAACGGGUGAGAAAAACAUCGGAACGUGCCCAAUCGUGGGGGAUAACGCAGCGAAAGCUGUGCUAAUACCGCAUACGAUCUACGGAUGAAAGCAGGGGACCGCAAGGCCUUGCGCGAAUGGAGCGGCCGAUGGCAGAUUAGGUAGUUGGUGAGGUAAAGGCUCACCAAGCCUUCGAUCUGUAGCUGGUCUGAGAGGACGACCAGCCACACUGGGACUGAGACACGGCCCAGACUCCUACGGGAGGCAGCAGUGGGGAAUUUUGGACAAUGGGCGCAAGCCUGAUCCAGCCAUGCCGCGUGCAGGAUGAAGGCCUUCGGGUUGUAAACUGCUUUUGUACGGAACGAAACGGCCUUUUCUAAUAAAGAGGGCUAAUGACGGUACCGUAAGAAUAAGCACCGGCUAACUACGUGCCAGCAGCCGCGGUAAUACGUAGGGUGCAAGCGUUAAUCGGAAUUACUGGGCGUAAAGCGUGCGCAGGCGGUGAUGUAAGACAGUUGUGAAAUCCCCGGGCUCAACCUGGGAACUGCAUCUGUGACUGCAUCGCUGGAGUACGGCAGAGGGGGAUGGAAUUCCGCGUGUAGCAGUGAAAUGCGUAGAUAUGCGGAGGAACACCGAUGGCGAAGGCAAUCCCCUGGGCCUGUACUGACGCUCAUGCACGA